UUAGAUUAAGUUAUUAAGGGCGCACGGUGGAUGCCUUGGCACUAGAAGCCGAUGAAGGACGUUACUAACGACGAUAUGCUUUGGGUAGCUGUAAGUAAGCGUUGAUCCAGAGAUUUCCGAAUGGGGGAACCCAGCACAAGUUAUGUUGUGUUAUCGACAAGUGAAUUCAUAGCUUGUCAGAAGGCAGACCCGGAGAACUGAAACAUCUUAGUACCCGGAGGAAGAGAAAGAAAAUUCGAUUCCCUGAGUAGCGGCGAGCGAAACGGGAAGAGCCCAAACCAAUAAGCUUGCUUAUUGGGGUUGUAGGACACUCUAUACGGAGUUACAAAGGAAUAUAUUAAACGAAUCAUCUGGAAAGUUGAAUCAAAGAAGGUAAUAAUCCUGUAGUUGAAAAUAUAUUCUCUCUUGAGUGGAUCCUGAGUACGACGGAGCACGUGAAAUUCCGUCGGAAUCUGGGAGGACCAUCUCCUAAGGCUAAAUACUCUCUAGUGACCGAUAGUGAACCAGUACCGUGAGGGAAAGGUGAAAAGUACCCCGGAAGGGGAGUGAAAGAGAACUUGAAACCGUGUGCUUACAAGUAGUCAGAGCCCGUUAAUGGGUGAUGGCGUGCCUUUUGUAGAAUGAACCGGCGAGUUACGAUCUGAUGCAAGGUUAAGCAGAAAAUGUGGAGCCGUAGCGAAAGCGAGUCUGAAUAGGGCGUAUAGUAUUUGGUCGUAGACCCGAAACCAGGUGAUCUACCCAUGGUCAGGUUGAAGUUCAGGUAACACUGAAUGGAGGACCGAACCGACUUACGUUGAAAAGUGAGCGGAUGAACUGUGGGUAGCGGAGAAAUUCCAAUCGAACUUGGAGAUAGCUGGUUCUCUCCGAAAUAGCUUUAGGGCUAGCCUCAAGUGA
This 894-nucleotide ribosomal RNA is filed under the name Staphylococcus hominis. RNAcentral's name for it is "bacterial LSU rRNA". It matches the Rfam family "Bacterial large subunit ribosomal RNA", at positions 1 to 889 of the family's 2925-position model. The record is from RNAcentral. Lineage: Bacteria; Bacillati; Bacillota; Bacilli; Caryophanales; Staphylococcaceae.